This 654-nucleotide ribosomal RNA is filed under the name Enterobacter cloacae. RNAcentral describes it as "bacterial SSU rRNA". It matches the Rfam family "Bacterial small subunit ribosomal RNA", at positions 729 to 1375 of the family's 1533-position model. The record is from RNAcentral. Lineage: Bacteria; Pseudomonadati; Pseudomonadota; Gammaproteobacteria; Enterobacterales; Enterobacteriaceae.
CUGGACCAAAAGACUGACGCUCAAGGUGCGAAAAGCGUGGGGAGCAAACACGGAUUAGAUACCCUUGGUAGUCCACGCCGUAAACGAUGUCGACUUGGAGGUUGUGCCCUUGAGGCGUGGCUUCCGGAGCUAACGCGUUAAGUCGACCGCCUGGGGAGUACGGCCGCAAGGUUUAAAACUCAAAUGAAUUGACGGGGGGCCCGCACAAGCGGUGGAGCAUGUGGUUUAAUUCGAUGCAACGCGAAGAACCUUACCUACUCUUGACAUCCAGAGAACUUUCCAGAGAUGGAUUGGUGCCUUCGGGAACUCUGAGACAGGUGCUGCAUGGCUGUCGUCAGCUCGUGUUGUGAAAUGUUGGGUUAAGUCCCGCAACGAGCGCAACCCUUAUCCUUUGUUGCCAGCGGUUCGGCCGGGAACUCAAAGGAGACUGCCAGUGAUAAACUGGAGGAAGGUGGGGAUGACGUCAAGUCAUCAUGGCCCUUACGAGUAGGGCUACACACGUGCUACAAUGGCGCAUACAAAGAGAAGCGACCUCGCGAGAGCAAGCGGACCUCAUAAAAUGCGUCGUAGUCCGGAUUGGAGUCUGCAACUCGACUCCAUGAAGUCGGAAUCGCUAGUAAUCGUAGAUCAGAAUGCUACGGUGAAUACGUUCCC